CUAUCAGUAGCAAAUCGGGCGCGAAUGGUUCAGGUUAGAGAUUCAUAUUCAGUUGAUGCAUCGUUUGGAGCAAGACCAGCACCCUUGAAAUUCUUUCUCAAUUCAACAUUUAUAGGGGCAAAGGCUCCAGCAAAGGUGACUAGAGCUGAAAUCCAUACCAUUCAUGCAACGAUUGUGCUAUUUGACUUAUUAGUGCGAAAUCGCCACUGAACUUGUUUGACAAAUCGACCAAACCCAUAUACGGGGGAAGCAUUUCGAGCAUCCGACUAUAGGUAUCUAUAUCUCCCCGAAUGCCCCAUUCUCGUAUGCUUUCUAAUUAAUAUCAAAAAAUUCUUAGAAAAUCAAGAAGAUAAGGAAGUUUCUAGAAAAUCAACCAAUUCAUAUUGAUUGUGCAUUCACGCCAUUUUUUAAGGAAAUCAUGAACUUAAAAAGCUUAGACUCACGCUAAUAAAUAAAUAAAUUAAUGACCAAAAUUCUUUUAAAAAAGAAAUUAAUAAAUUAUUACAAAAACACAACCCAAACAAAUCAAGAAACUAUUCAACAAAAUUAAAACAAAGAAAGUCAAUAAAUUAUUCACCCAAACACAAGAAAUCAUUCACCAAACACAAACCCAAAAACUCAAGAAAUUAUUCACUAAAUAAAGUCAAGAAAUUAUUCACCAAAGAACAAACCAAAAAAAUCAAGAAAUUAUUAACCAAAAUAAAAAAACAAAUAAAUUAAGAAAUUAUUCACCAAAACAAAAACCAAAAACUUAAUAUUGCUUUUAUGUGAAUGUCAACUCACAAAAACCAAGAUGGAGACAUAUCAAAGUAAACGGUAUUCAUCAUGAGAACGAUUUUUUUUAUGAUAAAACCAUCCAUUAACUCACAAAAAAAAAAAUUAUGGUAGCGAGAGCUUGGGCUCUUACGUUUGGAUUGUCUAGUCACCAAAUCUCACAACGUGUACUUGAACCAACCAACAGAAAUAAUGUAGUAUACCAGAUGAUUUACGUUCUUUUUAUAGGUGAUUCCUCACCACAAAUUUUCAUGGAAAACUUAAUUUUUAAUUAAUUUUCUUUUAAAAUACUCAUUCAAAUGUAGAUCCCUAAAUUUUAGAUGCAUAAAGUAUUUUUAACCAGGUUUUCUUGAUGGAUCACAUGUAAAAAGUGUUUGUAGAGUAACUCAUUAGACAAUAUUUACAUACGUGGGUGAUGUUGCAGGGGAUGCACGUGCUUAAUAAAUGCGUUUAUUGCAAACUCACAUGUGUCGGUGAUGAUGCACGGGGAACUCCUCUGUCUAUUUCUGUCUCAAUCUUGAUUCCUAAUGGUUCGUUUGGAUAUUAGGGUAUCCAAAAUCAGGUUUUGUAUGCUCAGAUUAUCCUGCAUAAAAAUAUGUCCCCUAACUUUUUCGAUACAUGGGUAUAUAAGAAAAAAAUUGAGUUAUCCAAAACAUUGUUUUGUGUCCAUGGAAGAUAGAAGAUAACUUGUGAAUGUACUAUUUUUACACACCAAACUGCACACUUUAUUAAAUAUAAGUAAUUAUGCCAAAACAUCAGCAGAAGUAAGAGAGAUAAAC
RNAcentral lists this long non-coding RNA (1553 nucleotides) under Amborella trichopoda. Its description in RNAcentral is "long non-coding RNA (ATRI_LNC000396)". The record is from RNAcentral. Lineage: Eukaryota; Viridiplantae; Streptophyta; Magnoliopsida; Amborellales; Amborellaceae.